Molecule: ribosomal RNA, 363 nt
Filed under: Vibrio parahaemolyticus
Lineage: Bacteria; Pseudomonadati; Pseudomonadota; Gammaproteobacteria; Vibrionales; Vibrionaceae
Description: partial 23S ribosomal RNA
Rfam family: Bacterial large subunit ribosomal RNA
Source: RNAcentral
CGGAAGAUGUAACGGGGCUAAGUAGUAAACCGAAGCUGCGGCAAUAUACUUUUGUAUAUUGGGUAGGGGAGCGUUCUGUAAGCCGUUGAAGGUGUGUUGUAAAGCAUGCUGGAGGUAUCAGAAGUGCGAAUGCUGACAUGAGUAACGAUAAAGGGGGUGAAAAACCUCCUCGCCGGAAGACCAAGGGUUCCUGUCCAACGUUAAUCGGGGCAGGGUAAGUCGACCCCUAAGGCGAGGCCGAAAGGCGUAGUCGAUGGGAAACGGGUUAAUAUUCCCGUACUUCUUACAAUUGCGAUGGGGGGACGGAGAAGGCUAGGUGGGCCUGGCGACGGUUGUCCAGGUUCAAGUGCGUAGGCUUAAGAG